UAGUCUCUCCAGUAAUGCAGCUAACGCAUUAAGCAUCCCGCCUGGGGAGUACGGUCGCAAGAUUAAAACUCAAAGGAAUAGACGGGGACCCGCACAAGCGGUGGAGCAUGUGGUUUAAUUCGAAGAUACACGAAGAACCUUACCUAGGCUUGACAUUGAGAGAAUCCGCUAGAAAUAGUGGAGUGUCUAGCUUGCUAGACCUUGAAAACAGGUGCUGCACGGCUGUCGUCAGCUCGUGUCGUGAGAUGUUGGGUUAAGUCCCGCAACGAGCGCAACCCCCUUUCUUAGUUGCUAACAGGUCAUGCUGAGAACUCUAAGGAUACUGCCUCCGUAAGGAGGAGGAAGGUGGGGACGACGUCAAGUCAUCAUGGCCCUUACGCCUAGGGCUACACACGUGCUACAA
This 403-nucleotide ribosomal RNA is filed under the name Helicobacter pylori. RNAcentral's name for it is "bacterial SSU rRNA". It matches the Rfam family "Bacterial small subunit ribosomal RNA", at positions 832 to 1230 of the family's 1533-position model. The record is from RNAcentral. Lineage: Bacteria; Pseudomonadati; Campylobacterota; Epsilonproteobacteria; Campylobacterales; Helicobacteraceae.